RNAcentral lists this ribosomal RNA (468 nucleotides) under uncultured bacterium. Its description in RNAcentral is "partial 16S ribosomal RNA". It matches the Rfam family "Bacterial small subunit ribosomal RNA", at positions 28 to 507 of the family's 1533-position model. The record is from RNAcentral.
GACGAACGCUGGCGGCGUGCUUAACACAUGCAAGUCGAACGGAAAGGCCCUGCUUUUGUGGGGUGCUCGAGUGGCGAACGGGUGAGUAACACGUGAGUAACCUGCCCUUGACUUUGUGAUAACUUCAGGAAACUGGGGCUAAUACCGGAUAGGAGCUCCUGCUGCAUGGUGGUGGUUGGAAAGUUUCGGCGGUUGGGGAUGGACUCGCGGCUUAUCAGCUUGUUGGUGAGGUAGUGGCUUACCAAGGCUUUGACGGGUAGCCGGCCUGAGAGGGUGACCGGCCACAUUGGGACUGAGAUACGGCCCAGACUCCUACGGGAGGCAGCAGUGGGGAAUAUUGCACAAUGGGCGGAAGCCUGAUGCAGCAACGCCGCGUGCGGGAUGACGGCCUUCGGGUUGUAAACCGCUUUCGCCUGUGACGAAGCGUGAGUGACGGUAAUGGGUAAAGAAGCACCGGCUAACUACGUG